AGGUCAAGUGAAGAAGGGCGCACGGUGAAUGCCUUGGCACUGGAAGCCGAUGAAGGACGCGACUAACCGCGAAAGUCUUCGGGGAGCCGUAAGUAGGCUUUGAUCCGGAGGUCUCCGAAUGGGGGAACCCAGCAUGUGCAGACAUGCUAUCCUUAAGUGAAUACAUAGCUUAAGGAGGGAACACGCAGUGAACUGAAACAUCUAAGUAG
This 209-nucleotide ribosomal RNA is filed under the name Lactobacillus delbrueckii subsp. bulgaricus. RNAcentral describes it as "partial 23S ribosomal RNA". It matches the Rfam family "Bacterial large subunit ribosomal RNA", at positions 1 to 209 of the family's 2925-position model. Lineage: Bacteria; Bacillati; Bacillota; Bacilli; Lactobacillales; Lactobacillaceae. The record is from RNAcentral.